Molecule: ribosomal RNA, 492 nt
Filed under: uncultured bacterium
Lineage: Bacteria
Description: partial 16S ribosomal RNA
Rfam family: Bacterial small subunit ribosomal RNA
Source: RNAcentral
AGUGAACGCUGGCGGUAGGCCUAACACAUGCAAGUCGAACGGCAGCACAGUAAGAGCUUGCUCUUACGGGUGGCGAGUGGCGGACGGGUGAGGAAUACAUCGGAAUCUACUUUUUCGUGGGGGAUAACGUAGGGAAACUUACGCUAAUACCGCAUACGACCUACGGGUGAAAGCAGGGGAUCUUCGGACCUUGCGCGAUUGAAUGAGCCGAUGUCGGAUUAGUUAGUUGGCGGGGUAAAGGCCCACCAAGGCGACGAUCCGUAGCUGGUCUGAGAGGAUGAUCAGCCACACUGGAACUGAGACACGGUCCAGACUCCUACGGGAGGCAGCAGUGGGGAAUAUUGUACAAUGGGCGCAAGCCUGAUCCAGCCAUACCGCGUGGGUGAAGAAGGCCUUCGGGUUGUAAAGCCCUUUUGUUGGGAAAGAAAAGCAGCAGGUUAAUACCCCGCUGUUCUGACGGUACCCAAAGAAUAAGCACCGGCUAACUUCGUG